UAGACUGCGAUUGCUCCAUCCGUUCGAGUUUCUUCUUUUAGCUCUGAAAGGCACACUCUGUGAAGAAUAUCAUUCCUGGAUACCAUACCUGUUCCUGUACGAAGAACACCCCUUGAGAGAUCGAAAGUGAUCUACCACACGCGAUGGAGCACCAAGAGAAUCCUAAUAUAUUACUUUUGGAGUGGGAAUACUUUCGUGGAGAAGUGUUUUAUCCCAUUCAAAGGACCAUUGGAGAUGAGUUUCACAUACACGAACUUCUCGGCUACGGAGAGACUUCCAAAGUCUAUCGCGGACUUCACGUCAGUACCUCCACGCAGGUUGCAAUCAAGCGGAGUUUCGAAGAUCGGAGGUCAUUGGUGGCGCUGGACAGGGAGGCAUAUGCACUGCGUACAUUUUGCCACCCGGUGAUUCCUUUCUAUUUUGCAUCCAUAGUCACAGCAUGGGGGUGGUGUGUUAUCCGGGAGCUGGUAGAGGGCGUUACUCUGGAUUUGUCACCAGGCUUUGGCGAUCCAACUGAAUUCCAGGCAGCCAGAAUCUUUGGUCAGUUGGCGGAUGGUCUUAGCUACUUACAUGCAUCGGGCACCGU
Molecule: long non-coding RNA, 586 nt
Organism: Sycon ciliatum
Lineage: Eukaryota; Metazoa; Porifera; Calcarea; Leucosolenida; Sycettidae
Exons: 5
Source: RefSeq, a predicted model, not a curated record